AUGCUCGCUGCCAGGGUUGGAGGUCAGGGCGAGCGUCUCGCGGGCCGAAGUAGGAAGAUGGCGGUGGAAUCGCGCGUUACCCAGGAGGAAAUUAAAAAGGAGCCGGAGAAACCAAUCAACCGCGAGAAGACUUGCUCGCUGCUGCUGCGGGUCUUCACCACCAAUAACGGCCGCCACCACCGAAUGGACGAGUUCUCCCGUGGAAACGUGCCUUCCAGCGAGCUGCAUAUCUACACUUGGAUGGAUGCAACCUUAAAAGAACUGACUAGUUUAGUGAAAGAAGUCUACCCAGAAGCUAGAAAGAAGGGCACACACUUCAAUUUUGCAAUUGUUUUUAUGGAUCUUAAAAGACCUGGCUAUCAAGUAAAGGAGAUUGGCAGCACCAUGUCUGGCAGAAAGGAGACCUAUGAUUCCAUGACCCUUCAGUCACAGAAGUUUCAAAUAGGCGAUUAUUUGGAUAUAGCAAUUACCCUUCCGAAUGGGGCACCACCUCCUUCAGGGCGGUCUUGUUAUGCAGCCUCUGAUGUCCUCAAACUCAUGAUCUUUGUGGCUCAGCCUCCCAAGUGCUGUGAUUACCGCAUGUACUACCAUGCCUGGCUAAAGAAACAAACUAGGAAUGAGCAGGGUAACUUAACGUUAAUGGGAAGAUAA
Castor canadensis (American beaver) is the source of this 651-nucleotide non-coding RNA. The record is from RefSeq and is a predicted model, not a curated record. Lineage: Eukaryota; Metazoa; Chordata; Mammalia; Rodentia; Castoridae.